RNAcentral lists this ribosomal RNA (497 nucleotides) under uncultured bacterium. Its description in RNAcentral is "partial 16S ribosomal RNA". It matches the Rfam family "Bacterial small subunit ribosomal RNA", at positions 28 to 507 of the family's 1533-position model. The record is from RNAcentral.
GAUGAACGCUGGCGGCGUGCCUAAUACAUGCAAGUCGAGCGAACGGACGAGAAGCUUGCUUCUCUGAUGUUAGCGGCGGACGGGUGAGUAACGCGUGGAUAACCUACCUAUAAGACUGGGAUAACUUCGGGAAACCGGAGCUAAUACCGGAUAAUAUUUUGAACCGCAUGGUUCAAAAGUGAAAGACGGUCUUGCUGUCACUUAUAGAUGGAUCCGCGCUGCAUUAGCUAGUUGGUAAGGUAACGGCUUACCAAGGCAACGAUGCAUAGCCGACCUGAGAGGGUGAUCGGCCACACUGGAACUGAGACACGGUCCAGACUCCUACGGGAGGCAGCAGUAGGGAAUCUUCCGCAGUGGGCGAAAGCCUGACGGAGCAACGCCGCGUGAGUGAUGAAGGUCUUCGGAUCGUAAAACUCUGUUAUUAGGGAAGAACAUAUGUGUAAGUAACUGUGCACAUCUUGACGGUACCUAAUCAGAAAGCCACGGCUAACUACGUG